GUGACGCCGCGUGUGGGACGAAGGCCUUCGGUCGUAACACUGUCAGUGGGAAAGAGGGGUGUCGGCGCCGAUAACCGCCGGCGCCUGACGGUACCUGCAGAGGAAGCCCCGGCUAACUCUGUGCCAGCAGCCGCGGUAAGACAGAGGGGGCAAGCGUUGCUCGGAAUUACUGGGCGUAAAGGGCGCGUAGGCGGGAUGGCAAGUCGGUCGUGAAAUCCCUCGGCUCAACUGAGGAACGUCGAUCGAUACUGCCGUUCUUGAGGAUUGCAGAGGAGACUGGAAUUCCCGGUGUAGCGGUGAAAUGUGUAGAGAUCGGGAGGAACACCGGUGGCGAAGGCGGGUCUCUGGGCAAUUCCUGACGCUGAGGCGCGAAAGCGUGGGGAGCAAACGGGAUUAGAUACCCCGGUAGUCCACGCUGUAAACGAUGACGACUAGGUGUGGGGGGGUUCAGUCCCCUCCGUGCCGCAGCUAACGCAUUAAGUCGUCCGCCUGGGGAGUACGGCCGCAAGGUUG
This 513-nucleotide ribosomal RNA is filed under the name uncultured bacterium. RNAcentral describes it as "bacterial SSU rRNA". It matches the Rfam family "Bacterial small subunit ribosomal RNA", at positions 391 to 896 of the family's 1533-position model. The record is from RNAcentral.